AUUGAACGCUGGCGGCAGGCCUAACACAUGCAAGUCGAGCGGAGCGGCGGACGGGCGAGUAAUGCCUGGGAAUCUGCCUGGUAGUGGGGGAUAACGUCCGGAAACGGGCGCUACUAUCGCAUACUAUCAGAUGAGCCUAGGUGGGAUUAGCUAGUUGGUGGGGUAAAGGCCUACCAAGGCGACGAUCCGUAACUGGUCUGUGAGGAUGAUCAGUCACACUGGAACUGGGAGACGGUCCAGACUCCUACGGGAGGCAGCAGUGGGGAAUAUUGGACAAUGGGCGAAAGCCUGAUCCAGCCAUGCCGCGUGUGUGAAGAAGGUCUUCGGAUUGUAAAGCACUUUAAGUUGAGAGGCGUUACCAACAGAAUAAGCACCGGCUAGCUUCGUGCCAGCGGACGGGGUAAUAC
Molecule: ribosomal RNA, 407 nt
Filed under: uncultured bacterium
Lineage: Bacteria
Description: partial 16S ribosomal RNA
Rfam family: Bacterial small subunit ribosomal RNA
Source: RNAcentral